UAAGUUCCCCCUUAGUCUCUUCUCCCAAGAACAAACCCACCCAACUCUUCCGUAAUAGACUAAGAGCUACUUAAAGGGGGUACAGCCCCUUUAACACAGGACACAACCUCCACCAGCGGAUAACCCCACCCCAUACCACACCCCGUAGGCCCUAAAGCAGCCACCCAUAAAGAGUGCGUCAAAGCUCAAACACAAAAAAAAUCCAAAAACAACACGACUCCCUACACCCCAACAGGCUAACCUAUCACUAUAGAUGAAUCAAUGCUAGAACGAGUAACCAGGAUAUCACAUCCCCUUAAGCGCCAGCCUACACACAAUUAACAGCACAGACCACAAUGCCUAACAUACACCCCCCCCAUUGAACACACCCUGUUAACCCAACCCAGGGGCGCACAACUAGGACGAUCCAAAUCUGCAAAAGGAACUCGGCAAACCCAAGGCCCGACUGUUUACCAAAAACAUAGCCUUCAGCCAAACAAGUAUUGAAGGUGAUGCCUGCCCAGUGACACUCAGUUCAACGGCCGCGGUAUCCUAACCGUGCAAAGGUAGCGCAAUCAAUUGUCCCAUAAAUCGAGACUUGUAUGAAUGGCUAAACGAGGCCUUAACUGUCUCCUGCAGACAAUCAGUGAAACUGAUCUCCCCGUGCAAAAGCGAGGAUAUAUACACAAGACGAGAAGACCCUGUGGAACUUUAAAAUCAAUAGCCACCACAUAUCCUACCCCAAGCCUACUGGCUCAUAACCAAAAACACU
This 751-nucleotide ribosomal RNA is filed under the name Melopsittacus undulatus (budgerigar). RNAcentral describes it as "partial 16S ribosomal RNA". The stretch from base 404 to 624 matches the Rfam family "Bacterial large subunit ribosomal RNA", at positions 1692 to 2034 of the family's 2925-position model. The record is from RNAcentral. Lineage: Eukaryota; Metazoa; Chordata; Aves; Psittaciformes; Psittaculidae.